CCUACGGGGGGCAGCAGUCGAGAAUCAUUCACAAUGGGGGAAACCCUGAUGGGGCGACGCCGCGUGGGGGAAUGAAGGUCUUCGGAUUGUAAACCCCUGUCAUGUGGGAGCAAAUUAAAAAGAUAGUACCACAAGAGGAAGAGACGGCUAACGCUGUGCCAGCAGCCGCGGUAAUACAGAGGUCUCAAGCGUUGUUCGGAAUCACUGGGCGGAAAGCGUGCGUAGGCUGUUUCGUAAGUCGGGUGUGAAAGGCGCGGGCUCAACCCGCGGACGGCACAUGAUACUGCGAGACUAGAGUAAUGGAGGGGGAACCGGAAUUCUCGGUGUAGCAGUGAAAUGCGUAGAUAUCGAGAGGAACACUCGUGGCGAAGGCGGGUUCCUGGACAUUAACUGACGCUGAGGCACGAAGGCCAGGGGAGCGAAAGGGAUUAGAUACCCUUGUAGUC
This 446-nucleotide ribosomal RNA is filed under the name uncultured bacterium. RNAcentral's name for it is "partial 16S ribosomal RNA". It matches the Rfam family "Bacterial small subunit ribosomal RNA", at positions 338 to 795 of the family's 1533-position model. The record is from RNAcentral.